GACGAACGCUGGCGGCGUGCUUAACACAUGCAAGUCGAACGCGCCUGUCCUCUGGGUUGCUGGGGGGGGGGUGAGUGGCGAACGGGUGAGUAACACGUGAGUAACCUGCCCCCUUCUUCGGGAUAACGGUCGGAAAGUGCUGCUAAUACCGGGUAUUCACUGGGCUCCGCAUGGGGGCUGGUGGAAAGGUUUUUUUCUGGUGGGGGAUGGGCUCGCGGCCUAUCAGCUGGUUGGUGGGGGGAUGGCCCAACAAGGCUUUGACGGGUAGCCGGGCUGAGAGGGUGCACGGUAACAUUGGGACGGAGCUACGGCCCAGACUCCUACGGGGGGCAGCAGUGGGGACUAAUGCACCAUGGGUGAUAGCGUGAUGCAGCGUCGGCGCGUGAGGCAUGGAGGCCGUCGGGUUGUGAAGCUCUUUCGGAAGUGGUCAAGCCGAGACGUGGGUCGUGGUGACGGUAGUGGGUAAAGAAGCGCCGGCUAACUACGUG
This 488-nucleotide ribosomal RNA is filed under the name uncultured bacterium. RNAcentral's name for it is "partial 16S ribosomal RNA". It matches the Rfam family "Bacterial small subunit ribosomal RNA", at positions 28 to 507 of the family's 1533-position model. The record is from RNAcentral.